Molecule: transfer RNA, 86 nt
Filed under: Candidatus Omnitrophota bacterium
Lineage: Bacteria; Pseudomonadati; Candidatus Omnitrophota
Description: Candidatus Omnitrophica bacterium (sediment metagenome) tRNA-Tyr
Rfam family: tRNA
About the family: Transfer RNA (tRNA) molecules are approximately 80 nucleotides in length. Their secondary structure includes four short double-helical elements and three loops (D, anti-codon, and T loops).
Source: RNAcentral
GGGGAGAUGGCGGAGUGGCCAAUCGCAACAGACUGUAAAUCUGUCGGCUUAUGCCUACGAAGGUUCAAAUCCUUCUCUCCCCACCA